UGCCAGACUCCUACGGGAGGCAGCAGUGGGGAAUAUUGGGCAAUGGGCGCAAGCCUGACCCAGCAACGCCGCGUGAAGGAAGAAGGCUUUCGGGUUGUAAACUUCUUUUAAGAGGGAAGAGUAGAAGACGGUACCUCUUGAAUAAGCCACGGCUAACUACGUGCCAGCAGCCGCGGUAAUACGUAGGUGGCAAGCGUUGUCCGGAUUUACUGGGUGUAAAGGGCGUGUAGCCGGGUUGACAAGUCAGAUGUGAAAUCCUGCGGCUUAACCGCAGAACUGCAUUUGAAACUGUUGAUCUCGAGUACUGGAGAGGCAGACGGAAUUCCUAGUGUAGCGGUGAAAUGCGUAGAUAUUAGGAGGAACACCAGUGGCGAAGGCGGCCUGCUGGACGACAACUGACGGUGAGGCGCGAAAGCGUGGGGAGCAAACAGGAUUAGAUACCCUCGUAUG
Molecule: ribosomal RNA, 450 nt
Filed under: uncultured bacterium
Lineage: Bacteria
Description: partial 16S ribosomal RNA
Rfam family: Bacterial small subunit ribosomal RNA
Source: RNAcentral